RNAcentral lists this ribosomal RNA (253 nucleotides) under uncultured bacterium. RNAcentral describes it as "partial 16S ribosomal RNA". It matches the Rfam family "Bacterial small subunit ribosomal RNA", at positions 524 to 776 of the family's 1533-position model. The record is from RNAcentral. RNAcentral also lists the same sequence under 1 other name.
UACGGGGGGGGCAAGCGUUGUUCGGAAUUACUGGGCGUAAAGGGUUCGUAGGUGGCCCGCUAAGUCAGACGUGAAAUCCCUCAGCUCAACUGAGGAACUGCGUCUGAGACUGGCGGGCUCGAGUGCAGGAGAGGAACGCGGAAUUCCAGGUGUAGCGGUGAAAUGCGUAGAUAUCUGGAGGAACACCGGUGGCGAAGGCGGCGUUCUGGACUGCUACUGACACUGAACAACGAAAGCCAGGGGAGCAAACGGG